GGGACGAACGCUGGCGGCGUGCUUAACACAUGCAAGUCGAACGGUGAACCGGGCUUCGGCCUGGGAAUCAGUGGCGAACGGGUGCGUAACACGUGGGCAACCUGCCCCGGACUCAGGGAUAACCCCCGGGAAACCGGGGCUAAUACCCGAUACUCCGGUCGAACCACAUGGCUCGAUCGGGAAAGCUCCGACGGUCUGGGAUGGGCCCGCGGCCUAUCAGCUUGUUGGUGGGGUAACGGCCUACCAAGGCGACGACGGGUAGCUGGUCUGAGAGGACGACCAGCCACACUGGAACUGAGAUACGGUCCAGACUCCUACGGGAGGCAGCAGUGGGAAUCUGCACAAUGGGCGAAAGCCUGAUGCAGCGACGCCGCGUGGGGGACGAAGUGCCGUUCGGUUGUAAACCCUUCGGCAGGGACGAAGCGACAGUGACGGUACCUGCAGAAGAAGCUCCGGACUAACGACGUCGCCAGCACGCCGC
RNAcentral lists this ribosomal RNA (481 nucleotides) under uncultured soil bacterium. RNAcentral describes it as "bacterial SSU rRNA". It matches the Rfam family "Bacterial small subunit ribosomal RNA", at positions 27 to 518 of the family's 1533-position model. The record is from RNAcentral.